This 216-nucleotide long non-coding RNA is filed under the name Brassica napus (rape). RNAcentral's name for it is "long non-coding RNA (BNAP_LNC019741)". Lineage: Eukaryota; Viridiplantae; Streptophyta; Magnoliopsida; Brassicales; Brassicaceae. The record is from RNAcentral.
UAAGGGGAUUCAAAGCCACCAACGGCCAAUCCCGAUAAACGAUAAAAAUGGCCAAAAUAGGCCCGUACAAAUCUCUCGGCCACAAUCGGCCAUAAACAUGAAACAGAAAGACGAGCAUCUCUCUUUCGAUAACUAUUCCACCUCUCAUAAUCCAAAGUCAAAGUCCCCGGACAACGAAACACCGAACGCAUCCGCGGGACGAUCCACUUCCUCGCC